RNAcentral lists this ribosomal RNA (507 nucleotides) under Rhodnius prolixus. RNAcentral's name for it is "partial large subunit ribosomal RNA". It matches the Rfam family "Bacterial large subunit ribosomal RNA", at positions 1912 to 2629 of the family's 2925-position model. Lineage: Eukaryota; Metazoa; Arthropoda; Insecta; Hemiptera; Reduviidae. The record is from RNAcentral.
CCAAUGAGUGAUUGAAUGGCUGCGGUAUUUUGACCGUGCUAAGGUAGCAUAAUCAUUUGUCUUUUAAUUGAGGGCUUGUAUGAAAGGUUGGAUGAAGUAAUAACUUUCUUUAAUUUAAUUUAUGAAUUUAAUUUUUAGGUUAAAAAGCUAAAAUGUUUUUAUAGGACGAGAAGACCCUAUAGAUCUUUACAGUUUGUUAGGUAUAAUGAUUUGGUGAAUUAUUUAUUAUUAUUCAAUGAUUUUGUUUGAUUGGGGUGAUUGUGGAAUUCUUUUAACUUCCAUUAUUUUUUUUCAAUGAUUAUUGUUUUAUUUGAUCCAUUAGUAAUGAUUAGAAGAUUAAGUUACCUUAGGGAUAACAGCGUAAUUUCUUCGGAGAGUUCAUAUUGAUGAGGAAGUUUGCGACCUCGAUGUUGGAUUAAAAUUAGUGUUAGGUGUAGCAGCUUAAUAACUAGGUCUGUUCGACCUUUAAAGUUUUACAUGAUCUGAGUUCAGACCGGCGUAAGCCAG